UACAGAGGGUGCGAGCGUUAAUCGGAAUUACUGGGCGUAAAGCGUGCGUAGACGGUUAUUUAAGUCGGGUGUGAAAGCCCCGGGCUCAACCUGGGAAUUGCAUUCGAGACUGAAUAGCUAGGGUACGGUAGAGGGAAGUGGAAUUUCCGGUGUAGCGGUGAAAUGCGUAGAUAUCGGGAGGAACACCAGUGGCGAAGGCGGUUACCUGGAGCUUUGCUGACGCUGAUGCGCGAAAGCGUGGGGAGCGAUCCGG
RNAcentral lists this ribosomal RNA (253 nucleotides) under uncultured bacterium. RNAcentral describes it as "partial 16S ribosomal RNA". It matches the Rfam family "Bacterial small subunit ribosomal RNA", at positions 524 to 776 of the family's 1533-position model. The record is from RNAcentral.